Molecule: ribosomal RNA, 253 nt
Filed under: uncultured bacterium
Lineage: Bacteria
Description: partial 16S ribosomal RNA
Rfam family: Bacterial small subunit ribosomal RNA
Source: RNAcentral
UACGUAGGGAGCAAGCGUUGUCCGGAAUCAUUGGGCGUAAAGCGCGCGUAGGCGGCCCUGUAAGUCCGCUGUGAAAGUCAAAGGCUCAACCUUUGAAAGCCGGUGGAUACUGCAGGGCUAGAGUCCGGAAGAGGCGAGUGGAAUUCCUGGUGUAGCGGUGGGAUGCGCAGAUAUCAGGAGGAACACCAAUAGCGAAGGCAGCUCGCUGGGACGGUACUGACGCUAAGGCGCGAAAGCGUGGGGAGCGAACAGG